RNAcentral lists this unclassified non-coding RNA (769 nucleotides) under Nilaparvata lugens (brown planthopper). RNAcentral's name for it is "protein disulfide isomerase-like 1-5, transcript variant X3". The record is from RNAcentral. Lineage: Eukaryota; Metazoa; Arthropoda; Insecta; Hemiptera; Delphacidae.
GAAUAAUUCAUGAAUUAUGUUGAAAAGAGGGUUUUAUGAAAAGCAAAAAACAACGUUACUGGUGGGGUAUUAUAUUAAAAUGUGGCAAUCUUUCUUGCAAAAAAUAAAGUAUCAAGUCGAGUAUUGACGUCCAUAAACUGAUUAAUCUGAACCUGAAAGAUCAUGAAGAUACAUUUGUACCACCUCCACCAUUAGCAAGUGGUGAGGGUGAGAGUAGUAGCGCACAAGAGAUAAUCAACUUGGACGAGUCAAACUUUGAAAGUGAACUGAAAAAGUAUAAAUUUACUUUAGUGAUGUUCCAUGCUCCAUGGUGUAAAUUUUGCAAAGUCAUGAAAACAAUUUUUUAUCAACUAUCUCAGGAAAUUCCAAGUGAUGUAGCCAGGCUGGCUAUGCUCGAUGGAGAUGAAUUUCCUGAUAUUGUUUUAGACCAUGACGUUCAGGUUUUUCCUACUCUCAAACUAUACCGUCGAGGUGUAUUCGUGGAAACCUAUGAUGGUUCAGGUGAAUACUCCAGUCUACUAGAAUUCAUCCGAUUAAACACCGCGAAUAAAGUUAAAUGAUCGAAAAGACCUACCGUAGUAGGUAGAGUAAAAAUAUUAGACCCAAUUCAGCACUUUCAAAAUUUAAUUGUAAACUUCAUAGGACUUUGAACCUUUUCUCUGUUGUAACUGUUAGUGAUAAUCCAUUUCAUGUAGUCAAAUAUAUAAAAGCAAUGUACGGCCUAAGAAGAAUGGCCAAAUAAUAAUAAUAUCAAGGCUUGAAAUUAAAA